GCGAUGGGGGGACGGAUCGCGGAAGGUUGUCUGACUGUUGGAAUAGUCAGUUUCUGGUUCAUAGAAGGUGCUUAGGCAAAUCCGGGCACGUAAUUCAAGGGACUGGGACGAAGAACUUAGGUUCUGUAGCAAUCGGAAGUGGUUCCAAGAAAAGCCUCUAAGCUUCAGUCAUACGAGACCGUACCGCAAACCGACACAGGUGGGCGAGAUGAGUAUUCUAAGGCGCUUGAGAGAACUCGGGAGAAGGAACUCGGCAAAUUUGAACCGUAACUUCGGGAUAAGGUUCGCCUACGCAAGUAGGCCGCAGUGAAGAGGGGGUUGCGACUGUUUAUCAAAAACACAGCACUCUGCAAACACGAAAGUGGACGUAUAGGGU
RNAcentral lists this ribosomal RNA (376 nucleotides) under Anophryoides haemophila. Its description in RNAcentral is "partial Bacterial large subunit ribosomal RNA". It matches the Rfam family "Bacterial large subunit ribosomal RNA", at positions 1461 to 1851 of the family's 2925-position model. The record is from RNAcentral. Lineage: Eukaryota; Ciliophora; Oligohymenophorea; Philasterida; Glauconematidae.